Long non-coding RNA from Erinaceus europaeus (western European hedgehog), 1195 nucleotides. RefSeq lists it as uncharacterized. The record is from RefSeq and is a predicted model, not a curated record. The transcript has 3 exons. NCBI's taxonomy places the organism in Eukaryota, Metazoa, Chordata, Mammalia, Eulipotyphla, Erinaceidae.
UGGCGACCGGCCGACCCUGUGGUGGCCCAUGGAAUGGUGGUCGUCAGAAAUCUCGUAAAAACACCUGAGCCGGGUGCGGCCGCCCCCUUUCCAUCCUGCAAGCGGCUCAGGCCAUCCCGUCCCCAGUUGGGGCCACCUGGACCUCAGCCCAGGCCUGGGGGGCUCUGUCACCUCACCCCGCCCGGAAUGGGGACUGGACAAGUGGCGCCCACUGUGUGUGUCCCACUCGGCUGGCAGGGACCAGGGACAGGAAUAAUAAGGCCGCAGGGAAAGGGACAGGAAAGACUGAGCCCUGCUGAGCUCCAGCUGGUGGAGGUGCUGAGGAUUGACCUGGGACCUCAGAGCCUCAGGCUGGAAAGUCUUACAGAACCAUUGUGCUGUGUGCCCAACCCUCUUUUUUUAAGCAUUGUGAGGGUGAGGCUGGUGUGCGCAAAGAGCGGUUCUGAGCAUCAUGCCCCUGGGCGCCGUGACAAUGGUGGGCCCUCUAAGCCGGAGGCUAAGAUGAAAAGGUAGAUGAUGACAGUGGCCAGAAGAGGCCCCCUGUGGGCCAGGCUUUGCUCAGGGGCUGCAGAGAUGGGGCUGUUCUUGAUCCUCUGAAGCCCCAUCCCGGCUCUGGGGGGAGGUGUCUCAUCUCCAAGCACUGGCCUUGAAGCUUCUGUUUUCCUGCCCGGCUUUGUUACUUACUCCCCCAGCCUCUGCAUGUCUCCUUUUUCUUUUUUAAAAUAACUUAGCAAGUGGGGCACCUGCUGAUACAUUGUGUGCUGAGCCUCUGUGAGCUCGUGGACAAAGAGCACGGGGUAGAGGGGUAGAAGUUGGAAGAUCGCUCCCACAGGGAAGACUGUACAAGGGAGCCCCAUGUCCUCCCCAGAUGUCACCUGCACCGCCAGCUUGACUCAUCCCUCUCUUGGGUAACACCGAGCUGGUGCUUAAAUAGAUGGAGUGUUUUUGUGCUUGUCAGUAUAGGCCCUGAAGUUAUCCUCACCUGGCUUGUCCUGGACAGCUGUAGUUGAGACAAAUGUUGAAUCCUAGAUUGGGCCCCGGGGAAGGGGCAGGGGGGCUGGGUUGCCUUUCUUAAACUUCUCAGUCUUCCCCCCUUCUCUCCAUUUCUUUUUGUUCUGUCCAACAAUAAUGACAAAAACAAUAAUAACUACAACAAUAAAAACAACAAGGGCAACAAAAGGAAAUAAAUAAAUAU